RNAcentral lists this long non-coding RNA (525 nucleotides) under Anser cygnoides (Swan goose). RNAcentral's name for it is "lncRNA (ENSACDG00005002015.1)". The record is from RNAcentral. Lineage: Eukaryota; Metazoa; Chordata; Aves; Anseriformes; Anatidae.
CAUUACAGUUCCUGCUUAUUGUCAGCUUUUGGAAAAAAAAAAAAAUUACAUUUAGGAUAAAAAAUAAAAAUGAUGGGUAGUGUGAAGUAAAAUAAAAAGCACUAUGUCAGAAUUUGCUGGCUGGAAUCUCUCUUGACCUCGUCAAGUUUCCAUGCAUAUGUCUGUUUAUAUAAUAUAAAACACGAAAUAGAAAUAUAUGUGUACCAAAAAUAAGCCAAAAAAUCAUUGAUAGGCUCAUGUGGGAGACAUAUAUAUUUAUGCAUAUAUACAACUUCUUAGUGUAGAAAUACUUGCUAGGUUAGGAGAUUUCAAUUGUGUUAAUUGCAGUGGUCCUGCAAUACAUCAACAUCAUUAUUGCUCUGAAAAUUAUCCCCUGGCACAAUGAGGGUCAAUGUUUGGUAUUGAUAUAUUCCAUUUUUACUUUCUUAGGUCACUUUUAUUUCAGUCUGGAAGUACAGUCAAAACUUAGCCAAGGAUUGUUAUAUACCACAGAAGAAGUGUGAUACAGAGUGGAAAAGGCAGUAA